AUUGAACGCUGGCGGCAGGCCUAACACAUGCAAGUCGAGCGGAUGAAGGGAGCUUGCUCCUGGAUUCAGCGGCGGACGGGUGAGUAAUGCCUAGGAAUCUGCCUGGUAGUGGGGGAUAACGUCCGGAAACGGGCGCUAAUACCGCAUACGCCCUGAGGGAGAAAGUGGGGGAUCUUCGGACCUCACGCUAUCAGAUGAGCCUAGGUCGGAUUAGCUAGUUGGUGGGGUAAAGGCCUACCAAGGCGACGAUCCGUAACUGGUCUGAGAGGAUGAUCGGUCACACUGGAACUGAGACACGGUCCAGACCCCUACGGAAGGCAGCAGUCGGGAAUAUUGGACAAAGGGCGAAAGCCUGAUCCAGCCAUGCCGCGUGUGUGAAGAAGGUCUUCGGAUUGUAAAGCACUUUAAGUUGGGAGGAAGGGCAGUAAGUUGAUACCUUGCUGUUUUGACGUUACCAACAGAAUAAGCACCGGCUAACUACGUG
This 484-nucleotide ribosomal RNA is filed under the name uncultured bacterium. Its description in RNAcentral is "partial 16S ribosomal RNA". It matches the Rfam family "Bacterial small subunit ribosomal RNA", at positions 30 to 507 of the family's 1533-position model. The record is from RNAcentral.